Molecule: small nucleolar RNA, 211 nt
Organism: Toxorhynchites rutilus septentrionalis
Lineage: Eukaryota; Metazoa; Arthropoda; Insecta; Diptera; Culicidae
Product: small nucleolar RNA U3
Exons: 1
Source: RefSeq, a predicted model, not a curated record
AAGACUGUGCUUCACAGGGUCAUUUCUGUAGGCAAGUUUUCACCACAAGUUUUUCCCGAAAGGAAAGAUUUCCCACCCACGAUGAUGAGAAAAAAGUGACUAGUCUGGAGCGUGAAACUUGAUUCGGUGAUGCUUUAUCUACACUCGGUAUAUAGCCUCGAAUCGCUGAUGAUCGAGCUCUUUCGCAUAGACUAGUCGCUGUCUGAGUGGU